Molecule: RNA transcript, 6953 nt
Organism: Mus musculus (house mouse)
Lineage: Eukaryota; Metazoa; Chordata; Mammalia; Rodentia; Muridae
Gene: Tbc1d4
Gene name: TBC1 domain family, member 4
Exons: 22
Source: RefSeq, marked validated
GAGGCCAGCCUGCUCCGGGAAGUGCCCUCGCCAAGCUGGGUACGACUGCCCCCCGAGGCGAGAUGAGGGGCGGAGGCCGGAGGAGGAGGCAGGGAGGCGACCUCAGCUUCUUGGCAAAGCUCUGCGCCCGUAGACUAGAGGCGGAGUAGCAGCCGGCUUUAAAGUAGCAGCCUGGGAGGAAGGAAGGAAGGAGCGAGCGAGGGAGGGACGGGAACCCUGGAGGAGGAGCAGCGAGCUGGGCUGCAGAAUCGGCGGGUGCAGGAGCUGCCUGCUCGAGGCCACGUUUGUUUUUGUUAUUUUCCAUUGGACUAGUUCUCCAGGACUGAGCGGGCCGCAAGCGGGCACCCCCGACCUUCCAGGUGACAGCCGGUCACCCUGCUAGGAGUCAGCUCCGCCCCAGUCGCCCCUUCCCGCCCACAGCUCCACUCUCCGCCCAGCCUUCCCGUGCCAGCGCUGGGUGAGCGCGCCGGCCGCAGCGGGCUGCAGGAGCAGGAGCCCGAGCAGGAUCGAGAGACCGCGGCUGCCCUGGUCCCGGACCCCAAGGACGGACCGGCGGCUGGAGAACAGACCUGCCCUGGGGCGCGAUCUCCAGGAAGGAGGAUGCGCGCGUGAGCCUGGGUCUCCCGCUAGUCCACUGAGCUGCAGCCAAAGGCUCGGAGCCGCGCCCGGGGAAGUGUCGCAUGGGGCAGGGCCGCUGAAGCACGGACUUUAAGAACUGGUGGCACCAAGGCAGGCGCGGGGGCCUGGGGCGACAGUUAGCAGUUUCCUCGGCUCCUGCACAGUGAGAGUUGGGGGCGCGGUGCCCUCGCUAGGCGCGAGUUAUGGAGUCGCCUAGCUGCAUUCAGGAUGAGCCUUUCCCGCACCCCCUGGAGCCUGAGCCGAGUGCCCCAGCACAGCCAGGUGCCACCAAGCCUGGCGACAAGCGCUUCCGGCUAUGGUACGUGGGAGGGUCUUGCUUGGAUCGCAGGACCACGCUACCCAUGCUCCCUUGGCUCAUGGCCGAGAUCCGUCGGCGCAGCCAGAAGCCCGAUGCGGGCGGCUGCGGGGCGCCCGCAGCCCGGGAGGUGAUCCUGGUGCUCAGCGCCCCCUUUCUGCGUUGUGUCCCUGCGCCGGGUGCCGGGGUCGGCGGGGGCGCAGGCUCCGGGGCUGUGCAGCCCAACACCGGGGUGUUCAUCUUCGAGCACAAGGCUCAGCACAUCUCGCGCUUCAUCCACAACAGUCACGACCUCACCUACUUUGCCUAUUUGAUCAAGGCGCAGCCCGACGACCCCGAGUCACAGAUGGCCUGCCACGUUUUCCGCGCCACGGAUCCUAACCAGGUUCCAGAUGUGAUCAGUAGCAUCAGGCAGUUAUCCAAGGCUGCCAUGAAGGAGGACUCCAAACCCAGCAAAGAUAACGAGGAUGCCUUCUACAACUCUCAGAAAUUCGAAGUGCUUUACUGUGGGCGGGUGAUCGUGACCCAUAAGAAGGCGCCCUCCAGCCUCAUUGAUGACUGCAAGGACAAGUUCAGCCUGCAUGAGCAGCAGCGACUGAAGCUGCAAGGCGAGAGAGGUGGUGACCCUGGCGACGAGAUGGGUGUCCUUGAGGUCGAGUCUCCUGUGUCUCCAGAUGACAGCCUGCCCGAGAAGGCAGAUGGUACAGUCAACAGCCCCCGUGCCCUGCCCUCUCUGGCUAGCCUUCCUGCCUUGGCCAGCCAACCCGCACUAGCCAGCUCUCGGGUUUGCUUCCCAGAGAGGAUUUUGGAAGACUGUGGCUUUGACGAGCAGCAAGAGUUCCGAUCUCGGUGCAGCAGCGUCACAGGCGUCAUGCAAAAGAAGGUUCAUGAGAACAACCAGAAAACACAGCCAAGAAGGAGGCACGCGAGCGCGCCCAGUCACGUGCAGCCCUCAGACUCGGAGAAGAAUCGGACCAUGCUCUUCCAGGUCGGCCGCUUUGAGAUUAACCUCAUCAGUCCCGACACUAAAUCAGUCGUGCUGGAGAAGAAUUUCAAAGAUAUCUCCUCUUGUUCUCAGGGAAUAAAGCAUGUUGAUCACUUUGGCUUUAUCUGUCGGGAGUCUCCGGAGCCGGGGCUGAGCCAGUACAUCUGUUAUGUGUUCCAGUGCGCCAACGAAUCUCUGGUGGAUGAGGUCAUGCUGACUCUGAAGCAAGCUUUCAGCACGGCUGCUGCGCUGCAGAGUGCCAAGACGCAGAUUAAACUGUGCGAGACCUGCCCCAUGCACUCUUUGCAUAAGCUCUGUGAGAGAAUCGAAGGUCUCUACCCACCUCGAGCCAAGCUGGUAAUCCAGAGGCACCUCUCUUCGCUGACGGAUAACGAGCAAGCUGACAUCUUUGAACGGGUUCAGAAGAUGAAGCCCAUCAGCGACCAGGAGGAGAACGAACUUGUGAUUCUGCACCUGAGGCAGCUCUGUGAAGCCAAGCAGAGGACCCACGUGCACAUCGGGGAAGGGCCGGCGAUUAUUUCAAAUAGUACAAUCCCAGAAAAUGUGACAAGCGGUGGGAGGUUCAAGCUUGAUGUUCUGAAAAACAAAGCGAAGAGAUCCUUAACUUCCUCCCUGGAAAAUAUCUUCUCCAGGGGAGCUAACAGGAUGAGAGGUCGGCUUGGAAGUAUGGACAGCUUUGAACGCGCCAACAGUCUUGCCUCAGAGAAGGACUUCUCACCAGGGGACUCUCCUCCUGGGACACCGCCAGCCUCCCCACUGUCCUCCGCCUGGCACGCCUUCCCAGAGGAGGACUCCGACUCUCCACAGUUCCGAAGACGGGCUCACACAUUCAGCCAUCCACCUUCAAGUUCAAGGAGGAAGCUGAACUUGCAAGAUGGCAAGGCCCACGGCCUACGGUCCCCUCUACUGAGGCAGAGCUCCAGCGAACAAUGCAGCAUUGUCCCGUCAGCCCGGCGCAUGUACAAGGAGAGUAAUUCUUCCUGCAGCCUUCCAAGCCUUCACACAUCCUUCUCUGCCCCUUCCUUCACUGCUCCCUCUUUCCUGAAAAGCUUUUAUCAGAAUUCAGGUAGACUGUCCCCACAGUAUGAAAAUGAAAUCAGACAGGACACUGCUUCAGAGUCAAGUGAUGGAGAAGGGAGAAAGAGGACGUCAUCCACCUGCAGCAACGAGUCCCUAAAUGCCGGAGGAACCCCGGUCACUCCUCGCAGAGUCUCCUGGAGACAGCGGAUUUUCCUCCGGGUUGCAUCUCCUGUGAACAAGUCCCCUUCAGCAAUGCAGCAGCAAAAAGAUGGGCUAGACAGGACUGAGCUGCUCCCGUUGUCUCCUCUCUCUCCCACCAUGGAGGAAGAGCCUCUCAUUAUCUUCUUGUCUGGUGACGAGGACACAGAAAAAGUUGAAGAAAAAAAGAAAUCAAAGGAGCUCAAGAGUCUGUGGAAAAAAGCUAUACACCAGCAAAUCCUGCUGCUUCGAAUGGAGAAGGAAAACCAGAAACUGGAAGGACUUUGGAUACUUGACAAAGAUUUGUGUUGCAGAAGCAAGAAGAGAUGAGCUCCAAUCUAGAAAAGUCAAGUUGGACUAUGAAGAAGUUGGGACAUGUCAGAAGGAGAUCUUAAUAGCAUGGGACAAGAAGCUGUUAAAUUGCAGAACUAAAAUCAGGUGUGACAUGGAAGAUAUCCAUACGUCCCUUAAAGAAGGGGUCCCUAAAAGUCGGCGAGGGGAAAUUUGGCAAUUUCUAGCAUUACAAUAUCGCCUAAGACACAGAUUGCCCAACAAACACCAGCCUCCAGACACCUCCUAUAAGGAGCUUUUGAAGCAGCUCACUGCUCAGCAGCACGCCAUCCUUGUGGAUUUGGGGAGGACUUUUCCCACCCACCCUUACUUUUCAGUGCAGCUUGGGGCAGGACAGCUGUCCCUCUUUAACCUGCUGAAAGCCUACUCUCUGCUGGACAAAGAGGUAGGCUACUGUCAGGGCAUCAGCUUUGUGGCCGGAGUCCUGCUUCUGCACAUGAGUGAAGAGCAAGCCUUUGAAAUGCUCAAGUUCCUAAUGUACGACCUGGGCUUCCGAAAGCAGUACCGACCGGAUAUGAUGUCACUUCAGAUUCAGAUGUACCAACUGUCCAGACUCCUUCAUGACUACCACCGAGAACUCUACAAUCAUCUUGAGGAAAAUGAGAUCAGCCCCAGUCUGUACGCUGCUCCCUGGUUCCUCACACUCUUUGCCUCUCAGUUUCCCUUAGGAUUCGUAGCCAGAGUUUUUGAUAUUAUUUUCCUUCAAGGAACUGAAGUUAUAUUCAAGGUUGCUCUCAGCUUACUGAGCAGCCAGGAGGCACUUAUAAUGGAGUGUGAAAACUUUGAAAAUAUUGUUGAAUUUCUCAAAAGUACAUUACCUGAUAUGAAUACCACUGAAAUGGAAAAAAUUAUUACCCAGGUUUUUGAGAUGGAUAUUUCCAAACAGUUACACGCCUAUGAGGUAGAAUAUCACGUGCUGCAGGAUGAGCUGCUAGAAUCUUCCUAUGCCUGUGAGGACAAUGAAUCUCUGGAGAAGCUGGAGAGAGCCAACAACCAAUUGAAAAGACAGAACAUGGACCUCUUGGAAAAACUCCAGGUGGCUCAUGCUAAAAUUCAGGCCUUGGAAUCCAACCUAGAAACUCUUUUGACCAGAGAAACCAAAAUGAAGGCUUUAAUCCGGACCCUGGAACAAGAUAAAAUGGCAUAUCAAAAGACAGUGGAACAGAUCCGGAAGCUGCUACCAGCAGAUGCGCUGGCCAACUGUGAAUUGCUGUUGAAAGACUUAACUCAUCCAACGAAUGACAAAGCCAAGGCAGGAAAUAAGCCAUAGUUUCAGACAUGGCCUCAGCAGACAGCUUCCUUUAAAAUAUCUGGACCCUGUGUAAGGUUGAUCAGAAAGCUGGUAGGACAGCUACUACUGGUGGUAGGAUCAUCAGAAGGCGAUGUAGCUCUCCUCAGAGCACUCCACUCUUAAGCCAUCACAGACAUCCAGACUGUAUUUCCUUCUGGUUGUUGCCAACUAUGUACAUAACUAUAUCUAAGUGGACAUAAAGAUUCAUGCUUUCAAGUCAAACAGUAGGCGUAUGUUAGGAGAAACUUUCUUUUUCAGUCAGAACUUCAUGAAAAUCACAUCAAAGGGGAGUUCAAGUGAGAUUCUCCUUGGAUACACCUGAAAUCCUUUUGGUUUUCUAGUGAAACAAAUCUAGAAUAUCUUUGUAUAUUGAAAUAUACUUGAACAACAAAAAAAGAUGAAUGUAUUUUUCCCUGCCCCCAAAGAUUAGCAUGCUUCACUCAGUGUGGUAGGCAGACACAUUUCUUUAGCUAUGUGUCUAUCUAUAAGGGACAUGAUUGGCUUCCAGUCUCACUCCCGUGAGUCUCCUAGGAAGGUGGGGCUCUUCUGCCCUGCCUGCUGUGUGACAACCAGCAUGUCUAACCUUUGAGGAUCCUGACCCUGGUUAGGCUUUGCUUUAGAUACACACAGGGAGAAAGCAGGACACUGUGGCUGAGUCAACCCCUCUCAGGGUGAAGAGGGCUGUUGCUAAUUUUCUAGCAGAUUAGACCAGCAUUGAUAUUUAAGCCGAAAAUACGAGGCCUCAAACACACCAUUAAGCUCCUGAAUUGCCUAGGGUAGCCUUUUGCCAUUUUACUUAAGUGACUUCUACACAGGCAAACAGUUGCUUGGUGCUGUAUUUACCAAGUGAGAGGGUUUGCUAUUUUCUCACAAAAGUAUGGGAGCAUUCUAUGUAGUCCUUGCGACCUUCGGUGUUAGAAUAGGGAAAUAAAAUUAGGAUUUCCCAAAGAUGAUAUACCACGUUGAGUUGCUUUUCUAUUUUUUGCUCAAUGCCAGAACCCAUUUUUAAUCACUUUCCCCUUUCAUGUGAAAAUUUAGAACUGUGAACUAUUUAGGAACCAAUCAUGAAAAGCACACAGGAAGGGCUGGAAGCGUCUCCGCCCCAGGGUAAAACCUACAAUUCUGUGUUUGGACUCCUGGCUUCUGCUGCGUACAGGUAGGAUACUAGAGGAUGUUCGUGCAAGCUGGGUGCAUGGAUGGCAAGUCAUUUUCCCAGGACAUGUUCAGUCCCUACAGCAGAGAUGGCUUUACAAUAGUGCCUCUGAACACUGGGACAGCAUUCUGUUUGGCCUUUGUAAACAGUGUUUACUGUUGCUGCUCUUUCAGCCAUUGUCUUUUUGCAGAUGGGUUGCUUGGGGGUAUUUUUCCUCAAAGAGAGUUGAUUAUACACGAGAUGAAAUGUUAUCAUAGUGCUUUUGAGUCAAGAUGUAAAGCUUCCAAAGACAUGGAAACGUGCGGAUGAACAGCAUCUAGGCUGUUCUCCACUUGAAUGUCACAAGGAUCACAGGGUCAGAGUAGCCUUGGAUCUAGGGGGUUUUCUCCUUUAAAAAAGUCUUAUUAGCCAGGAGAGUUGAUGUACGUUCUAGAUUCUAGGAAGUGCUGAUUAUUGAUUCUCCGUUUGGUUGAGGGCCAUUAGUUGAUCUGUUGCUUGGAUCUCUUGAAAAAUGUCUUCAUUUGUAGUAUCUCUAUUCAGCAUUACUGUCUGAUGGUUGAAAUCAUUGCCUUGUGGUGGCUGAAGGAUCCUUAUGUCAGGGAAGGAAAUAGUUUCUUUCCAUUUCUCCAUUAAAAGUAAUGUCUUCAUUUGUAGUAUCUCUAUUCAGCAUUACUGUCUGAUGGUUGAAAUGAUGGUUGAAAUCAUUGCCAGGUGGUGGCUGAGGGAUCCUUAUGUCAGGGAAGGAAAUAUUUUCUUUUCAUUUCUCCAUUAAAAGUAAACUGUGUUCCGGAUGUUGGGAGCCAGCAGUAUGGGUUGUUUAUGGUAUUCAGUGAUUAAGACAACGUGGAUGUGGUAUUUUCUUGUGAAAAUGACUUUUCUUUCUCAUUGGUGAUUUUUUAAAAAAAAAAUAUGUUACUCCUGUUUCGCUUUGUAAUAUUACAUCUCCAUCAGGUUCCUGUAACGUCUAGAAUUAUUUCCAAUAAAUAUGUUGCUGCCAUUU